ACUGGGCGUUAAGUUGCAGGGUAUAGACCCGAAACCCGGUGAUCUAGCCAUGGGCAGGUUGAAGGUUGGGUAACACUAACUGGAGGACCGAACCGACUAAUGUUGAAAAAUUAGCGGAUGACUUGUGGCUGGGGGUGAAAGGCCAAUCAAACCGGGAGAUAGCUGGUUCUCCCCGAAAGCUAUUUAGGUAGCGCCUCGUGAACUCAUCUUCGGGGGUAGAGCACUGUUUCGGCUAGGGGGUCAUCCCGACUUACCAACCCGAUGCAAACUGCGAAUACCGAAGAAUGUUAUCACGGGAGACACACGGCGGGUGCUAACGUCCGUCGUGAAGAGGGAAACAACCCAGACCGCCAGCUAAGGUCCCAAAGUCACAGUUAAGUGGGAAACGAUGUGGGAAGGCACAGACAGCCAGGAUGUUGGCUUAGAAGCAGCCAUCAUUUAAAGAAAGCGUAAUAGCUCACUGGUCGAGUCGGCCUGCGCGGAAGAUGUAACGGGGCUAAACUGUGCACCGAAGCUGCGGCAGCGACACUAUGUGUUGUUGGGUAGGGGAGCGUU
RNAcentral lists this ribosomal RNA (555 nucleotides) under Citrobacter youngae. RNAcentral describes it as "partial 23S ribosomal RNA". It matches the Rfam family "Bacterial large subunit ribosomal RNA", at positions 687 to 1240 of the family's 2925-position model. The record is from RNAcentral. Lineage: Bacteria; Pseudomonadati; Pseudomonadota; Gammaproteobacteria; Enterobacterales; Enterobacteriaceae.